RNAcentral lists this ribosomal RNA (484 nucleotides) under uncultured bacterium. Its description in RNAcentral is "partial 16S ribosomal RNA". It matches the Rfam family "Bacterial small subunit ribosomal RNA", at positions 28 to 507 of the family's 1533-position model. The record is from RNAcentral.
AUUGAACGCUGGCGGCAUGCUUUACACAUGCAAGUCGAACGGCAGCGCGGGCUUCGGCCUGGCGGCGCGUGGCGAACGGGUGCGUAAUGCAUCGGAACGUGCCCACUAGUCGGGGAUAGCCCGGCGACAGCCGGAUUAAUACCGCAUCCGACCCGCGGGUGGAACCGGGGGACCGACAGGCACCGCGCCAUUGGAGCGGCCGAUGCCGGGUUAGCUAGUUGGUGGGGUAAGGGCUUACCAAGGCGACGAUCCGUAGCUGGUCUGCGAGGACGACCAGCCACACUGGGACUGAGACACGGCCCAGACUCCUACGGGAGGCAGCAGUGGGGAAUGUUGGACGAUGGGGGCAACCCUGAUCCAGCCAGGCCGCGUGCGGGAAGAAGGCCUUCGGGUUGUAAGACGCUUCUGUUCGGGAAGAAUGCCUCUGGGCUAAUACCCCGGGGGGAUGACGGUACCGGAAGAAUAAGCACCGGCGAACUACGUG